UACGGGGGAUGCAAGCGUUAUCCGGAAUCAUUGGGCGUAAAGCGCCUGUAGGUUGUUUGAUAAGUCCGUUGUUAAAUACUAGGGCCUAACCCUAGAAAAGCAAUGGAAACUGUUAGACUAGAGGAUGGUAGGGGUAGAGGGAAUUUCUAGUGUAGCGGUGAAAUGCGUAGAUAUUAGAAAGAACACCGGUGGCGAAGGCGCUCUACUGGACCAUUACUGACACUCAGAGGCGAAAGCUAGGGUAGCAAAAGGG
Molecule: ribosomal RNA, 253 nt
Filed under: uncultured bacterium
Lineage: Bacteria
Description: partial 16S ribosomal RNA
Rfam family: Bacterial small subunit ribosomal RNA
Source: RNAcentral